CCUGUGCAGAUGAUGAACACCUGCCAUGCUCACACGCUUCAUGUGCUUUGAGGAAGCCUGCGGAGCGCUAAGAGGCUUCACCUGCUUUCUUUUUGUUGGCCUUUUCCUGCAGGUCAAAGUCUUUGUUUUAAACGGCAGGGAAUUGUCGGUCACGGUAAUGUGUCUGAAUCACGUUGAGAGCGGACACCUGCUCUCGGAGGAAUCCCGCUCACCUGGAGUGUGCAACAUUUUAAAGCGGCUCUGCUCUCUCGAUCGCUCCUGAUAUUCCUGAGCAUGUGCAGAUUUCGUGUGAUGGGAUCUUCAUAUCGCUGGAGGGGCCGGGACCGCCGAGACCUGUGCAGACGUGACGCGUUUUAAAAAUGGAUAGAGCUGAAAAUGGCACAUUUAUGGUGAUUUAUUGUCAUUCGGACGAAACCAUACGAAUGUCUUGUUUAAAUGAUGAGCCAUGUUUUCCAAUUAAAUUGUGGGUGCGUAG
Molecule: long non-coding RNA, 475 nt
Organism: Pimephales promelas (fathead minnow)
Lineage: Eukaryota; Metazoa; Chordata; Actinopteri; Cypriniformes; Leuciscidae
Source: RefSeq, a predicted model, not a curated record